Molecule: ribosomal RNA, 253 nt
Filed under: uncultured bacterium
Lineage: Bacteria
Description: partial 16S ribosomal RNA
Rfam family: Bacterial small subunit ribosomal RNA
Source: RNAcentral
UACGUAGGGGGCUAGCGUUGUCCGGAAUCAUUGGGCGUAAAGAGCGUGUAGGCGGCCCGGUAAGUCCGCUGUGAAAGUCGGGGGCUCAACCCUCGAAUGCCGGUGGAUACUGUCGGGCUAGAGUGCGGAAGAGGCGAGUGGAAUUCCUGGUGUAGCGGUGAAAUGCGCAGAUAUCAGGAGGAACACCGAUUGCGAAGGCAGCUCGCUGGGACGUCACUGACGCUGAGACGCGAAAGCGUGGGGAUCAAACAGG